Unclassified non-coding RNA from Prolemur simus (greater bamboo lemur), 311 nucleotides. Its record names the gene 7SK. It matches the Rfam family "7SK RNA". From Rfam's summary of the family: 7SK was discovered as an abundant small nuclear RNA in the mid-70s but a possible function has only recently been suggested. Two independent studies have found that 7SK RNA binds the CDK9/cyclin T complex (known as elongation factor P-TEFb). P-TEFb activates transcription by phosphorylating the C-terminal domain of RNA polymerase II. The record is from Ensembl. NCBI's taxonomy places the organism in Eukaryota, Metazoa, Chordata, Mammalia, Primates, Lemuridae.
GGAUGUGAGGGCGAUCUGGCUGCGACAUCUGUCACCCCAUUGAUCGCCAGGGUUGAUUCGGCUGAUCUGGCUGGCUAGGCAGGUGUCCCCUUCCUCCCUCACCGCUCCAUGUGCGUCCCUCCCGAAGCUGCGCGCUCGGUGGAAGAGGACGACCUUCCCCGAUAGAGGAGGACCGUUCUUCGGUCAAGGGUAUUCGAGUAGCUGCACUCCCCUGCUAGAACCUCCAAACAAGCUCUCAAGAACACUGGGCUCAAAGAGGAUAUGGAAACUGAGAGAUUUUGAUUUGCCAGAUAGGAAAGAAGUGGUGGCUA